Molecule: ribosomal RNA, 1488 nt
Filed under: uncultured prokaryote
Description: partial 16S ribosomal RNA
Rfam family: Bacterial small subunit ribosomal RNA
Source: RNAcentral
UGGCUCAGAACGAACGCUGGCAGCGUGGAUUAGGCAUGCAAGUCGAACGGGAAGCCUGGCCUUCAAUCUUCGGAGAGAAAGCCAGGUGGAGAGUGGCGGAAGGGUGAGUAACGCGUGGGUAACCUGCCCCCAAGUUGGGGAUAACUUCGCGAAAGUGGAGCUAAUACCGAAUGUGGACAUCUCGGGCAUCCGAGGAGGUCCAAAGGUGGGGAUCUUAGGACCUGCCGCUUGGCGAGGGGCCCGCGUACUAUCAGCUUGUUGGUGGGGUAAUGGCUCACCAAGGCUAAGACGGUUAGCUGGUCUGAGAGGAUGGUCAGCCACACUGGGACUGAGACACUGCCCAGACUCCUACGGGAGGCUGCAGUCGAGAAUCAUUUGCAAUGCGCGAAAGCGUGACAAUGCGACGCUGCGUGGGGGAUGAAGGUCUUCGGAUUGUAAACCCCUGUCAUUCGGGAACAAAGCAACUGGGUUAAUACCCUCUGUUGUCUGAUUGUACCGAAAGAGGAAGCCACGGCUAACUCUGUGCCAGCAGCCGCGGUAAUACAGAGGUGGCAAGCGUUGUUCGGAUUUACUGGGCGUAAAGGGUACGUAGGUGGGCUUGUAUGUCGGAUGUGAAAUCUCACUGCUCAACGGUGAAACGUCAUUCGAAACUGCAAGUCUGGAGUACAGGAGAGGAGAGCGGAAUUCUUGGUGUAGCGGUGAAAUGCGUUGAUAUCAAGAAGAACACCGGCGGCGAAGGCGGCUCUCUGGUCUGUUACUGACACUGAGGUACGAAAGCUGGGGGAGCGAACAGGAUUAGAUACCCUGGUAGUCCCAGCCGUAAACGGUGUGCACUUGGUGUGGGGGGAAUUGACCCCCUCCGUGCCGGAGCUAACGCGUUAAGUGCACCGCCUGGGGAGUACGGCCGCAAGGUUAAAACUCAAAGAAAUUGACGGGGGCCCGCACAAGCGGAGGAGCAUGUGGCUUAAUUCGAUGCAACGCGAAGAACCUUACCAGGGCUUGACAUGUAGCUGCACGCCUGCUGAAAAGCGGGAAGCUUUCGAAGGUGCUACACAGGUGCUGCAUGGCUGUCGUCAGUUCGUGCCGUGAGGUGUUGGGUUAAGUCCCGCAACGAACGCAACCCUUGUGGUUAGUUGCCACUUCCGGUGGUUCGCCGGAAAGCACUCUAGCCAGACUGCCCGUACAAGCGGGAGGAAGGUGGGGAUGACGUCAAGUCAGUAUGGCCCUUACGCCCUGGGCUGCACACGUGCUACAAUGGUCGGUACAAUAGGACGCAAUACCGCGAGGUGGAGCCAAUCCUCAAAGCCGGCCUCAGUUCGGAUUGGAGUCUGCAACUCGACUCCAUGAAGUUGGAUUCGCUAGUAAUGGCUCAUCAGCUACGGAGCCGUGAAUACGUUCCGGGCCUUGUACACACCGCCCGUCACAUCAUGAAAGCCGUCUGCACCCGAAGUCGCUGAGCCAACUUUCACGAGAGGCAAGCGCCGAAGG